Long non-coding RNA from Ailuropoda melanoleuca (giant panda), 758 nucleotides. RefSeq lists it as uncharacterized. The transcript is spliced from 4 exons. The record is from RefSeq and is a predicted model, not a curated record. Lineage: Eukaryota; Metazoa; Chordata; Mammalia; Carnivora; Ursidae.
UGAACCACUGAGCUCUACCUCUGAAACUAAUAACAUACUGUAUGCUAAUUAAUUUGAUUUAAAUUAAAAAGAAGAACCACCUGUCAGGCGGGCGGGGGCAGCAGGGUUGAACACACGAUUCAUGAAGGAACGUGCAGCAGGGGAGUGAAGUGCAGAGAGGGCAGGGGUCGGACGGGCCCAGCACGGAAGGGCGGUCAGGAGACCCGAGGGCAAGACCGGGCAGAAGAAAGCAAUCCGGGAGGAGUGAGAGAGACAGUGGAGGGGGCUGCGAGUGAGGACCGAGCUCCACCGCAGCGCUGCCGGGCGGCCACGCGCGAGGGCCGCGCUCUACAGCCCAUCGAACAAAACGGACGCUUUUGCAGGCCGGAAGCAGUGAAAAAUCCCCGCAAUUGCGUCCAACACGAAAGGAGCGGCUCCCGCAAGAGCCGCGUGAGAACGCAUGCGUCAUCUCAGCGCCGUUCACGCCGUCAGGACUCCGCUCACCUGCAGGCGCGGCCAGGGGACUGAGCGGAGAUGGGGGCUGCACCGUGGCAACAGGCUCCAGAAGCAUUUUAACGAGGAACACAUGAAAUUAUACUCAAAACUUCAAAAGGAAGAAAAUGAAUUUGGCGACGGGGAAAUCGCUGGACACCACGGCUCGGACGGUUCCUCCACUUAGACGUCAUCCAAUGGAGCCUCUGCUUUUCUUUCUACGUUAAAAGAGCGAGAGACACAGAGAGAGAGAACAAGGAGGAGCAGCAGAGGCAGAGGGAGAAGCA